This 250-nucleotide unclassified non-coding RNA is filed under the name Hevea brasiliensis (rubber tree). The record is from RNAcentral. Lineage: Eukaryota; Viridiplantae; Streptophyta; Magnoliopsida; Malpighiales; Euphorbiaceae.
AUGGGUAUCAAGACUCUAGCAGUGCUCUGCUCAUCAAAUUUUUUUCACUAAGGGCCUGUUUUAUAGAAAGGAAAGGUGAGGAAAGAAAAGUAACCAGAAUUAUAGGGAAAGUAAAAUCCUUAUGGAAAGGAAAAUUAUUAUUUUCCUUAUAAAUGUUUUCCAUAGGGAAAGGAGAGGAAAGAAGCAUUUUUUAUUUUUCAUGUUUUGAUUGAAAGAAAAGUGAGGAGAGAAAAUUAUUAUAUUUUUACUA